CCCAGGUGGGCUCAGAGCUGGGAGGAACAGGGGGCUAGGACCCCCAGCGUGGGUUCGUUAGGCGUAACGAGCUCAUUAAGAGCAGUGCCAUGGGCUCUGGGCUUCCCUCCAUCAUCAGCCAUGGGAUGCAGCCUCCCCCAAUGGAACCAGGCCCAGGGGGCGGCCCAGGCGGGCUCAGAGCUGGGAGGAACAGGGGGCUGGGACCCCCAGCGUGGGGUCGUUAGGCAUAACGAGCUCAUUAAGAGCAGUGCAAGGGGCUCUGGGCUUCCCUCCAUCAUCAGCCAUGGGCUCUGGGCUCCCCUCCAGCCCCCUCCCAUGGAACCAGGCCCAGGUGGGCUCAGAGCUGGGAGGAACACGGGGCUGGGACCCCCAGUGUGGGGUCGUUAGGCGUAACGAGCUCAUUAAGAGCAGUGCGAGGGGCUCUGGGCUCCCCUCCAUCAUCAGCCAUGGGGUCCAUCCCCUUCCAAUGGAACCAGGCCCAGGGGGUGACCCCAGGUGGGCUCAGAGCUGGGAGGAACACGGGGCUGGGACCCCCAGCCUGGGGUCGUUAGGCAUAACGAGCUCAUUAACAGCACUGCAUGGGCUCUGGGCUCUCCUCCAUCAUCAGCCAUGGGGUCCAUCCCCUUCCAAUGGAACCAGGCCCACGGUGUGACCCCAGGUGGGCUCACAGCUGGGAAGAACACGGGUCUGGGACACCCAUCGCGGGGUCGUUAGGCAUAACGAGCUCAUUAACAGCACUGUGUGGUGUCUGGACUCCCCUCCAUCAUCAACCAUGGGGUCAGGGCUCCCCUCCAUCCCCUUCCAAUGGAACCAGGCCCAGGGGGUGACCCCAGGCGGGCUCAGAGCUGGGAGGAACAGGGGGCUGGGACCCCCAGCGUGGGGUCGUUAGGCGUUAACGAACUCAUUAAGAGCUCCGGGACCCCGGCGCUUACCUGGUGCGGGUUCCAGUCGCUGUCGAAGAUGAUGACGGUGUCGGCGGACUGCAGGUUGAGGCCCAGCCCGCCCGCCCUCGUGCUGAGCAGGAAGAUGAAAUACUCGGAGCCCGGCUCGUUGAACGUCUUCAGCAGCAUCCCCCGGUCCUCCGCCUUCGUGGUCCCUGCAACGCGCGGCCGCCGUUACCGGCAGGCGCCAGCAGGGGGCGCUGUGAGCAACGGGAUGGGGGAAAGGGGGGGUGGGAUGGAAGGGUCCUGGAAGGGCACUGAGACAUGGAAGGGUUGGGUUGGAUUGGAAAGGUCCUUGAAGGUCACAGAAUCAUAG
Molecule: long non-coding RNA, 1257 nt
Filed under: Numida meleagris (helmeted guineafowl)
Lineage: Eukaryota; Metazoa; Chordata; Aves; Galliformes; Numididae
Description: lncRNA (ENSNMEG00000001388.1)
Source: RNAcentral